GACGAACGUUGGCGGCGUGCUUAACACAUGCAAGUCGAACGAUGAAGCCUAGCUUGCUAGGUGGAUUAGUGGCGAACGGGUGAGUAAUACGUGAGUAACCUACCUUUAACUCUGGGAUAAGCCUGGGAAACUGGGUCUAAUACCGGAUACGACCAAUCUCCGCAUGGGGUGUUGGUGGAAAGCGUUAUGUAGUGGUUAUAGAUGGGCUCACGGCCUAUCAGCUUGUUGGUGAGGUAACGGCUCACCAAGGCGACGACGGGUAGCCGGCCUGAGAGGGUGACCGGCCACACUGGGACUGAGACACGGCCCAGACUCCUACGGGAGGCAGCAGUGGGGAAUAUUGCACAAUGGGCGCAAGCCUGAUGCAGCGACGCCGCGUGAGGGAUGACGGCCUUCGGGUUGUAAACCUCUGUUAGCAGGGAAGAAGAGAAAUUGACGGUACCUGCAGAGAGAGCGCCGGCUAACUACGUGCCAGCAGCCGCGGUAAUACGUAGGGCGCGAGCGUUGUCCGGAAUUAUUGGGCGUAAAGAGCUUGUAGGCGGUUUGUCGCGUCUGCUGUGAAAGGCCGGGGCUUAACCCCGUGUAUUGCAGUGGGUACGGGCAGACUAGAGUGCAGUAGGGGAGACUGGAACUCCUGGUGUAGCGGUGGAAUGCGCAGAUAUCAGGAAGAACACCGAUGGCGAAGGCAGGUCUCUGGGCUGUAACUGACGCUGAGAAGCGAAAGCAUGGGGAGCGAACAGGAUUAGAUACCCUGGUAGUCCAUGCCGUAAACGUUGGGCACUAGGUGUGGGGACAUUCCACGUUUUCCGCGCCGUAGCUAACGCAUUAAGUGCCCCGCCUGGGGAGUACGGCCGCAAGGCUAAAACUCAAAGAAAUUGACGGGGGCCCGCACAAGCGGCGGAGCAUGCGGAUUAAUUCGAUGCAACGCGAAGAACCUUACCAAGGCUUGACAUAUACUGGACCGCAUCAGAGAUGGUGUUUCCCUUCGGGGCUGGUAUACAGGUGGUGCAUGGUUGUCGUCAGCUCGUGUCGUGAGAUGUUGGGUUAAGUCCCGCAACGAGCGCAACCCUCGUUCUAUGUUGCCAGCACGUUAUGGCGGGGACUCAUAGGAGACUGCCGGGGUCAACUCGGAGGAAGGUGGGGAUGACGUCAAAUCAUCAUGCCCCUUAUGUCUUGGGCUUCACGCAUGCUACAAUGGCCGGUACAGAGGGUUGCGAUACUGUGAGGUGGAGCUAAUCCCUAAAAGCCGGUCUCAGUUCGGAUUGGGGUCUGCAACUCGACCCCAUGAAGUCGGAGUCGCUAGUAAUCGCAGAUCAGCAACGCUGCGGUGAAUACGUUCCCGGGCCU
RNAcentral lists this ribosomal RNA (1347 nucleotides) under uncultured bacterium. Its description in RNAcentral is "bacterial SSU rRNA". It matches the Rfam family "Bacterial small subunit ribosomal RNA", at positions 28 to 1381 of the family's 1533-position model. The record is from RNAcentral.